RNAcentral lists this ribosomal RNA (182 nucleotides) under uncultured Planctomycetaceae bacterium. Its description in RNAcentral is "partial 16S ribosomal RNA". It matches the Rfam family "Bacterial small subunit ribosomal RNA", at positions 335 to 527 of the family's 1533-position model. Lineage: Bacteria; Pseudomonadati; Planctomycetota; Planctomycetia; Planctomycetales; Planctomycetaceae. The record is from RNAcentral.
ACUCCUACGGGAGGCAGCAGUCGAGGAUCUUCGGCAAUGGGCGCAAGCCUGACCGAGCGACGCCGCGUGAGCGAUGAAGGCCAUUAGGUUGUAAAGCUCUGUCGAGGGGGAACAAGCCGCAAGGUUGAGUGAUCCCUGGAGGAAGCACGGGCUAAGUUCGUGCCAGCAGCCGCGGUAAUACA